GAUGAACGCUAGCGGCAGGCCUAAUACAUGCAAGUCGAACGAUACCAGAGAGCUUGCUUUCUGGGAAAGUGGCGCACGGGUGCGUAACGCGUAUGCAACCUACCUUAAUCAGGGGGAUAGCCUCUCGAAAGAGAGAUUAACACCGCAUAAAAUCACACUUCGGCAUCGAAGAAUGAUCAAAUAUUUAUAGGAUUAAGAUGGGCAUGCGUGACAUUAGCUAGUUGGUAAGUAACGGCUUACCAAGGCUACGAUGUCUAGGGGAUCUGAGAGGAUGACCCCCCANACUGGUACUGAGACACGGACCAGACUCCUACGGGAGGCAGCAGUAAGGAAUAUUGGUCAAUGGGGGCAACCCUGAACCAGCCAUGCCGCGUGCAGGAAGACGGCCCUACGGGUUGUAAACUGCCUUUAUACGGGAAUAAAUCUCGCUACGUGUAGUGAGUUGAAUGUACUGUAAGAAUAAGGAUCGGCUAACUCCGUGCCAGCAGACG
Molecule: ribosomal RNA, 491 nt
Filed under: uncultured bacterium
Lineage: Bacteria
Description: bacterial SSU rRNA
Rfam family: Bacterial small subunit ribosomal RNA
Source: RNAcentral